GGAUGAAGAAGGCCUUCGGGUUGUAAAGUCCUUUCGUGGAGGACGAAAAGGCAGGUUCCAAUACAAUCUGCCAUUGACGUGAAUCCAAGAAGAAGCACCGGCUAACUCCGUGCCAGCAGCCGCGGUAAUACGGGGGGUGCAAGCGUUAAUCGGAAUCACUGGGCGUAAAGGGUGCGUAGGCGGUGCAUUAGGUCUGUCGUGAAAUCCCCGGGCUCAACCUGGGAAUGGCGGUGGAAACCGGUGUACUAGAGUAUGGGAGAGGGUGGUGGAAUUCCAGGUGUAGCGGUGAAAUGCGUAGAGAUCUGGAGGAACAUCAGUGGCGAAGGCGGCCACCUGGUCCAAUACUGACGCUGAGGCACGAAAGCGUGGGGAGCAAACAGGAUUAGAUACC
RNAcentral lists this ribosomal RNA (391 nucleotides) under uncultured bacterium. RNAcentral describes it as "bacterial SSU rRNA". It matches the Rfam family "Bacterial small subunit ribosomal RNA", at positions 403 to 786 of the family's 1533-position model. The record is from RNAcentral.